RNAcentral lists this ribosomal RNA (502 nucleotides) under uncultured bacterium. RNAcentral's name for it is "partial 16S ribosomal RNA". It matches the Rfam family "Bacterial small subunit ribosomal RNA", at positions 28 to 507 of the family's 1533-position model. The record is from RNAcentral.
GAUUAACGCUGGCGGCGUGCCUAACACAUGCAAGUCGAGCGGCAGCGAGUUUUACACUGAAUUCUGGAAGCUUCUAGUUGAAAGAGAAGAUUUAUUCAAGAAUUUUGUGUAAAAUGUCGGCGAGCGGCGGACGGCUGAGUAACGCGUGGGAACGUACCCCAAAGCGAGGGAUAACGCAUCGAAAGGUGUGCUAAUACCGCAUAUGGUCUUCGGAUUAAAGCCUUCGGGCGCUUUGGGAACGGCCUGCGUAAGAUUAGAUAGUUGGUGGGGUAAUGGCCUACCAAGUCGACGAUCUUUAACUGGUUUGAGAGGAUGAUCAGUCAGACUGGAACUGAGACACGGUCCAGACUCCUACGGGAGGCAGCAGUGAGGAAUCUUCCACAAUGGGCGAAAGCCUGAUGGAGCAACGCCGCGUGCAGGAUGAAGGCCUUCGGGUUGUAAACUGCUUUUAUAAGUGAGGAUUAUGACAGUAACUUAUGAAUAAGGAUCGGCUAACUACGUG